GAACACUAUAUAUGUAUGGCGAAUUGACAAUAAACCAAACAUCACAUACUGUUUACAAAUAAAGUAAACAAAGAGAGAAAUACAUUAUAAGAUCAUCUAAAGCCAAACAAAAAUGAUUUCAAAGACAACUUUCAUAUACCUAUUCAUGUUCUCCCUUUAUGCUUUGCAUCAAUUUACACAAUUGGAUGCUGGAGAAAUAGAGAGUUCGAGCAAGAUAAUUCUUCCUCCAAAAUGUGUCCCUUACAUUUGUUAUGGAGUGAAUUGUUGGUGCUGUAAGAGGGAUCCAGUGGGCGAUGGUCAAUGUUUCAAAACCCUAGAAGAAUGCAAGUCCAAUCGCAAAUGUCCUUGGCUGUAACUGGUUGUUAUUAAAUGGAAUGUACGGGAUGAAAGGAAUUAAAAAUUUUGGAAUACUAAAAAUGGAAUGACAGACAAAAUAGAAUAAAAACUAAAACUAGUUAAUUCCA
Long non-coding RNA from Brassica napus (rape), 464 nucleotides. RefSeq lists it as uncharacterized. NCBI's taxonomy places the organism in Eukaryota, Viridiplantae, Streptophyta, Magnoliopsida, Brassicales, Brassicaceae. The record is from RefSeq and is a predicted model, not a curated record. The transcript has 2 exons.